CAUACCGAACCGUUCACAAUGAACGUUACGAACAAUGGAACGUCGGUAGCAGACAUCGGUUGCUGAUCUGCAUUUUGUAACGUUGUGUGGCCCACACUAGUGUGAAAUUUCUGAGGUUUCUGAGUGUGCGUGUUUUGAGUUUGAUUUUGUGAUAAAAGCGAUUAAAGUUGUUUGGUAUGUGGUAGUCAGUUUACUGUAGAUCAUGUUUUUUCUGAGGCGAUACUACACUUAAAGGAGCAGAGGUAUCAAUAAUGCCAACAUUUCGUAAAACUGAAGGGACUUUGUUGAAUAGGACCCUAACUUAAAAAUGACAGAAUUAGCACAGUCACUCAGAAAUAGAGUUUACUAUGCUGCGAGAGAUGGAAUGGCUAUUACUUUAUAUGCUCUACUGGCCGAAAAGAGGGAUGAAGAAGUACAUGAACUGCUUAAUCAGCAGGUGAUAGAGGAGGAUGGGCAGAAGUGUUCUCCUCUCAUUGUGGCAGCAAGACAUGGUCAUGAUAAAGUUGUGAAGAUGCUUCUCUCCAAGUUCAAACCAGACAUGGAGCAAGAGGGAACAAUAAAGUUGAAUGGCUAUGUUAUAGAGGGAGCAAGUGCAUUAUGGUGUGCUGCAGGUACAGGCCACCUAAAUGUUGUCAAAACUUUGGUGAAAACUGGUGCAAAUGUGAACCAUCCAACAAAAACAAAUUCCACUCCUUUACGUGCUGCGUGUUUUGAUGGUCGUUUGGACAUUGUCAAAUAUUUAACAGAUCAUCUUGCUGACAUUCACAUUGCAAAUAAAUACAAUAAUACGUGCUUAAUGAUAGCUGCAUACAAAGGCCAUUUCGAUAUAGUCAGUUUUCUUUUGGAGAAAGGAGCCAAUCCUGAUGAGAAAGCACACUGUGGUGCAACUGCACUUCAUUUUGCAGCAGAGUGUGGUCAUGUGGCAAUUGUUAAGGAGCUGUUGAAGUAUGGGGCACAUAUAACCAAGAAUGAAAAUGGCAUGAGUCCUCUGAUAGCAGCAGCUGAGCGGACUAGAGCUGAAGUAGUAGAAUACUUGGUAACACGGUCAGAGGUCUCAAAUAUGGAACGAAUAGAGGCCCUAGAAUUGCUUGGGGCUUCUUAUGCAAAUGAUAAAGACAAUUAUUGUCUCGAGUUAGCAUAUCAAUAUUUACAUCGGACAAUGGAAAUGAGGUAUAGUGACCCACAUAAUAUCAUAUUGAAGACAUUAGUAAAACCAGUUCCAGCAUAUGAAAAUUGGGUUGAAUGUCAAACAGUUGAAGAGCUAGAAGCCAUUCAACUCAAUCAGAAUGCUCUGCACAUGGAAUCAUUGUCAAUCCGUGAGCGGAUCUUGGGCACUCAUAAUCCAGAGGUGCCCCAUCCAGUUAUUUUCCGAGGUGCUGUAUUUGCUGACAAUGCACGGUUUGAUCGUUGUAUUGAAUUGUGGCUGCAUGCUUUACAUCUUCGACAACUCAACAAAGUAUCAGUUGUCAAGGAUCUCCUUCGAUUUGCACAGGUAUUCUCUCAGAUGAUCCAUGUUGGGGUAGAUUUAACAUUUUCUCAAGUUGAGGAUGUUUUAGCAGCAUCUGUUCUGGAACUAGAAAGGAACAAAGAGAAGAUUGCAAACCCUGGUCCUAAAGAUGAUGUAGAGCAAGUAAUGGAGGAAUUGGAGAGUAAUGUAACAACAGUCCUAUACAUUUUAGUUAUAAUUACGAAACUCAUGAAGUUCUGUACGAAAAAAGAAGAAUUUCAUGUUAACCGUCUAGUCUUCCGUUUGAAUCAGUUGGAAGUUGCUAUGAGAGAUGGUCAGACGCUACUGCAUUUGUGUGUUAAUGCUGACACACCUGUUGAUGAUUUUCACACCAAUGAUGUAUGCAAGUUUCCAUGUUCAUCAACAGCCAAGUUACUAAUUCAGUGUGGAGCCAAUGUAAAUGCAAUGGAUCAGAACAGAAACACGCCUUUGCACAUAAUUGUGAGUUACCAGAAACCCAUAAGUGACUUCUUAACUUUGCAUUCCAUUAUAAUGGAACUGACUGAAGCGGGAGCACAUAUGGACACGGUCAAUGUGCACGGUGAAACUCCUUUUGAAGCUGCAACAACUGGUGUAGCAGAAAUCAUCCUUCGAACACAAACGAAACUGAGCUUGAAGUGCAUGGCUGCUAAAGCUGUCAAAACUUAUAAUCUUACAUACCAAGGGCAAGUGCCACAGUCUCUUGAGAGCUUCAUUGAACUCCACGGCCCAGAGUCAAAGAGUAAGCCAAGCAAGGUACCAGCAUGAACCAGGAAGCAAGCAGGCAAAGUCUAAGGCACAUGAUGACUUAUGGUCAGUCAGCCAUCCUCUCCUUGUAGUUAAGCAACUGAUCUAGACCAGUGUCCCUACACUGAAUGAUGUUUGCAAGCAUCUCGUUUGAUCGUGAGCUAUCCUUUGGAGGCAGUAGCAGGUUUUAACAAGCCACCAUUAACGCGGGUCUGCCAGAAGAACAUUUUAUACGUCUUACAUUUGAAUUUGUUUUUGUGUGAAUUGAAUUGUGCAGUAUAGACACCAGCAUUAUUAUUUGACAGUCACAGUGGAAACCACAUGAGAAUGCUUUGCCUUGUUGCUUAACUCCAAACUGAAAUUCAUCAUUUUUCCCCCCAGACUUCAGUUUAUUCCUGUCCUCCCAGCUUCUUGCUCUUCCAGUGUUCCAACCAGAAAUCUUAAGGUAUUUCAUGUUUUCCCCAUCAUCUUUGCACAUAAGGCUUAAUUUAAAAUGUGUAACUGGUUAAUUUAUAAUUAAGUGUAUUCUUUCCUGUAUUUUUUCCUGUCAUAUGUGAUUGGUUCACCUUGUGGUUUCUUAAACUGUUUGUGCUACAAAAUCUCAAAACCUGCUUUUUUUUGACACAUUGUGCAUUAGCUUCCAUGUUGUAAAUGACAUGGAAGGAACAUUUUUAAAAUGUUGGUAUUUAUUCUUAAUGAAAUUUGUGUAUGGAUUGAAGUAUUGAGUUAUGUGAACUACACUUAACAACUUUAUUGAUGCAAUGGCUGACUUACAUUCAGUGGAGGCUCAGUUCAAGUCACGAUUGAUGUGUUUCCUGGAUUUUGUUAUUUUCCCUGGGCAAAUGUUUGGACAAUAUAUGAAAACAGACCAUGACAGCUCCUUCUUAAUUCAUUGUAAUAAAACAUGUUUUACAUUAGUAGUUGAUACAGCUUUUUACCAGCUGACUUCAACUUUACAUGCACUUGAGAAAUGCCUUGAAAAUGUAGUGAAUAAAUGAAAUAAUUUUCCAGUAAACUGUUCUUUUAUCAGCAUGCAUUUGUGAGGUAAUGGUCAUGAAAUCCAAACCAAAUUUAACUGCAGGAAUAUAUGUACCAUUAUGCUCAGAAUUACUGGGUUUUUGGACCCUUUAGAAUUAAUAUGUACCGUUGUGUUUCAGCCUUGUAUUUAACUACAUUGUUGCAUUGUAAUGAGCACAUAUUUGUACAGAAGUAUGGUUUCUAAGAAGAAAUUAUGAAUUGGAGAAUAAGCAAAAAAGUUAAGGAAUAUUAAUCACAGGAAACAAGUCCCCAGGUCUUUAUUUUAAUUUUAAAAUAUUUGUAAUAUGUCAGUUUAAAUGAUUUUAUGGUUGUGAUUUUGUAAUUGACGUAUCAGAGGAUGAUAUUCUGUUCUUUACUUCACUUCUGGGAUGGUUUCCAUUCAUUAGCUUUGUUCAUGAAAUAAUCUGACCCCUUUUUAUAUAAGCAGACCUCUUAAUAUGAAAGUGAAUCUCGUGAAGGUCAUUACAUGAAACAUGAAGAAGGAGGAGGAGCUCAGUCUAGUUAGGUACUGUUAUUUUGCACAGUGUUGGUACAACAUGGCUGCAAGUAUAAGAACUCAAGUUGUUCAAAAGACAAUUCAGAAUACUAUCAAGGACACAGCAUGAGAGUUACACAUAUAUUUAUAGGAUUAAUAUCAGCUAAUGUCUAAUUUUACAGGGAACAAAGUCAUUUUACUACUACUACUACUGCUGCUGCUGCUGCUGCUGCUAUUACUUAUA
This is an RNA transcript of Cryptotermes secundus, 3990 nucleotides long. It is a transcript of the gene named protein fem-1 homolog B, with no coding region annotated. The record is from RefSeq and is a predicted model, not a curated record. NCBI's taxonomy places the organism in Eukaryota, Metazoa, Arthropoda, Insecta, Blattodea, Kalotermitidae. The transcript is spliced from 12 exons.